UAUACAUUGGUAUGUUUUUGAUGGAGGAAUUUUUGUUUUAUGUUUGUCAGCAUAAAUCACAGACUGAACCAUAAAAGGCAAUGUUACCAUUAUGAGACUUGUAAAUUAUUCUAUAAAUAUCGUUAUAGGCAACAGUCCAAAAUACAUUUUGAUGAUUUAACGUUUUGCCGUUCAAUGUCUCAUUAACUGUUACUUUCAAAAACUGGUGUGUUUGGAGUUUACCAUCAAAAUUACAGUGUUUGUGAACAAUGAAGUUAUUAUGCUUAAAAUGGAGAAACUUAUAAGUAGCAAGAGAUAUUUACACCAUCAUGUAUAUUAUUACUGUGGUUGUUAUCAUGUUGUAAGACGCACCAAAGUGUAAAAUGUAUGCGAAGGAGACGUGUUUGUUUCUUAAAAAAAUGAAGAAGGACUUGGUGUUGUGAGUACAUGAACGAAAUAUAUGAUUUAUAUUUCAGAGAGUUCCCGGAUGUAAAAAGGUGAAGAUAGCAACUGGUAUUUGAUACUUUUAUUCCACCACAAAAGAAAAAGGGCAACUACAGUAAUGGAUCCAAAAAGGCCUGUUAUUUGCUGAUGGUGAUAACAGGGGUUGGAAUGUCGCCGGGGAACGGAAUAAAUGGAAGAAUUGCUGAAGAAAAUUAGCAUUUUGAGACUUGCAAACUGUUCUAUAAAACAUUCACAAAACCACAUUCUAAAAAAAAAAUGCAUAUGAUUAUACGAAAGAAUGGUGAUCAGUGUCUUGUUCACUGCUCUUUGUAUUCUGGUUAGCUUUUGACUUUUGAAGGAAGAUUAUGAUGUUUCAAACAUUUGAUAAAAAAAAAAGAAAAGAGUAAAGCAGGUAAUUUGUUACAGGACAUAUUUAACAGCAUCCUGUAUAUCACUCGUAUGUAAUUUAUUAUGCUAAAAGACAGUUAAGCGCAAAAUGCAAGAUUGUGGCCUGGAAUGCAAAAGGAAAAAUUUGACAUACUUGUUUUUAUUAUUUAUAUUAUUCGACAGCAUUGAAGAAACUAGUGGUUAUGGUGGUGGUUGAAAUGACGACAGGCACUUUACCAUUAAUAGACUUUGAUUGAAUAGAUUACUGGUGAGCAGCUAUUUCCACCCUAGAAAUAAAAGCCAUUUCGAGCCUCUGUUUGAAUAACUUAAUGGUGAGCAGUCAUCACUUCCCAAGGAGCCCAUAUCCCAUGUGAACGACGAUCAAAAAGAUCGAGACAAUAUGAGAACGUCUGUUGGGGAUAUGGUCUUGGUCGCCUCUCCUGAAUUGAUGUGCAUUUUUCCAGACAUUCGACGAUUUAGAGUUUCCGGAUGUUAAAAGGUGAAAAUAGUAACGGGUAUUGAUACUUUCAUUCCACCACAAUAGGAGAAGGUCAACUAUAGUUACAGAUCCAGAAAGUCUCUUAUUUGCUGAUGGUGAUAGCAGUGGUUUGAAUGACGCCGAUCGACGGUCGAGACAAUAGGAGAACGUCUGUCGGGUAUAUGAUUUUGGUCGUCUCUCCUGAAUUGAUGUGAAUUUUUCUAGACAUGGGACAAUUUGGAUAAAAACGGAGUUCUUGGACAUACUUACCCUUGAUGCAUCUGCGAAAUCACGAAAGAAAUUGUCACAUAUCUAUCUCAAUUGAACGCAGACAUAUUCAAAAUUGCAAUUAACAACAAUACAGAUGAAGAUGGGUUGUGCAGCCUAUUUAAAUAUAUGCUUUUUUUGUAUUUUGGAUAAUUUGUUCAUUUAAAUAGAUAUCAUUUACACAUAUAGAUACUAAAGAUAUUUGUGAAACAAAGCAACGUGCACUGAAGUUGAUGUUGUCAUUUUUUUCUAUUCUGAUGAACGCCGUUUGAUUUGUUUUAAACUAAAUAAAUAUACAAAGUUGCA
Molecule: long non-coding RNA, 1861 nt
Organism: Mytilus californianus (California mussel)
Lineage: Eukaryota; Metazoa; Mollusca; Bivalvia; Mytilida; Mytilidae
Exons: 6
Source: RefSeq, a predicted model, not a curated record